This 1375-nucleotide long non-coding RNA is filed under the name Homo sapiens (human). RNAcentral describes it as "long intergenic non-protein coding RNA 1471". The record is from RNAcentral. Lineage: Eukaryota; Metazoa; Chordata; Mammalia; Primates; Hominidae.
AGAGGUGGGGGACAGAGUGGGUGGGGAGGGGAGCCGCCAUACAGUGGCCAGGACCAGCUUUGCCCAAGUGGUGGCAACCGCAUGACCACAGGAACGAUGGCGUGAGCCCCGUGGCAACCUGGAGGAAGGGGUGUGAGAAGAAAACAUUAGAACUUCUAUUUUGUACCUGUGUUACUCCACAACAAGAAAGCAAUCAGCUUGAUCAAUGCCUACUGUAAAGACGGCACCGCCCUCCGGAGGUCCUUUCUCAGCCCUGGUGUUCGGACAGCCACAUCCCCUCGCAGCAGGGGGAGGCCUGAAGCAUAGAGGGGCCCAUGCAGGUCUAUUCUGUUUCAGCGAAUUGCCUGGGAAAUAAUCCAGGAUCCAUUUCGUGUGGUCAUCUUGUCUCCCUGGUCCCCUCCAGCCUUUCCUCAUCUUUUGUGACCUGGUCACUCUGGAAGGGCGCUGGCCAGUUAGUCCACAGGAUGGGCCUCCCCUGGGGCUUUUCUGAUGCUUCCUUAUGAUGGCACUGGCAUCCUGAGGGGGAGGACCACAGAGAGGAGGUGCUCCUCAUCACACCACAUGGGGGUCCAUGCACCAGUGCCACUGCUUUCCAGGGCUCUUCACCUUCAUCACUGGUGGAGGUGGCGUCUGCCAAGAAGCAGAAAGUUGAGGCUUAGAAGGUGCACGGCCCUACCUCUUCCGAGGUGCCCCUGCGGGCUGUCUACAGACCAGGCAGCACAUGCCUGAUAGCAGCUGCAUAAGGAAAAGCAGGAGCCAGCUCGUGCACAGUGGCCUCAAGUGUGCACUGGGCAUGUUCUCUGCCUCACCAUCCCUGUGUGACAGAUGAAGCAUGGCAAGCCAGGCUCCAGAGAAGCAUCCUGAGGACCAGUGUUCCUAGGGACCUCAUUCUUCUGACCUCAUUCCUACAACGUUUUGUCACUGCAAAGGAAAUCACCAAGGCCAGCAUGACAGCCCUCAACAGAAGCCAAGGCCAAGUCCUCGAACUUCCUAGUCUGCACAAUGUCUGUCUUUCAGACACUUCUGAUGAAACUGAAAAUGCCACCAGGGAGAAGCAGCUGAAAUAACACUUGUGCUGAGGUCGCUGAGCCACUGUGGAAGACAUCCAAGCUCCAUAAAGACAGGUCAAGUGCACAUGCUCCAGUCAACAGCCCAGCUGAGCCCUCAGCAUACAGCCAACACCAACUGCAAGCUGAGGGUGAAACAACUUGGAUGUCCAUUUGGAUGUCAAGCUGGACUUCAGAUGCCUGUGGUUGCAGCUCUGUCUGCAACUACAUGGAAGACGCCAUGUGAACCACCUAGUAGAGCCCUUCCUAGAAUUGUUGGCCCUCAGACUCUACAUGCAUAUCAAAAUGAAUGUUGUUUGAAGCCAUAA